GCAUCUGCGGGCCGCCGAGGCGGCCGGCGUCAAGGACGCCGAACGGCUCGAACGCGAGCUGUACGACCGGCGGUUCCUGGUCGCCCGGCCGCU
This 93-nucleotide transfer RNA is filed under the name Streptomyces anandii JCM 4720. Its description in RNAcentral is "tRNA-Leu". Lineage: Bacteria; Bacillati; Actinomycetota; Actinomycetes; Kitasatosporales; Streptomycetaceae. The record is from RNAcentral.